RNAcentral lists this small RNA (471 nucleotides) under Oryza sativa Japonica Group (Japanese rice). RNAcentral's name for it is "sRNA Os12g0273850". The record is from RNAcentral. Lineage: Eukaryota; Viridiplantae; Streptophyta; Magnoliopsida; Poales; Poaceae.
AAUUUUUACACUAACAUAAAUCUUCUUCUGCUGUCUAUCAACAAACAUGAAAUAGGAUUUUCUCCAACUAGUUUUGAACAGCAGCAAACAAAGAACCACCCAGAGGCUGAGGACAAAUCCAAUAGCCAUGCCAAGAUAAAGGGAUAUAUGUUCCAAAUCAACAUGAUUUCUAGGUAAGUCUUUGCUUGUCGCAUUUCCAGAACAGUUUCUAGUUAAAGGAGGACCACAUAGACCAAUGUUUCCAAUGUAGGAAGACGCGUCAUAUGAUCCCAUAGUGUUUCCUCUUGGAAUUCUUCCAGAUAGAUUGUUGUAUGAGAGGUUCAUGGUGCCCAAAGCGUUAAGAUCCUGCAUGCUCGAAGGGAUUUCACCAGAAAGCUCAUUGUGAGAUAGGUCAAGAGAUUCCAGUUGUUUGAGCUGACCAAUAGUCUCCGGGAUUUCCCCAUUUAUGAGGUUCCAAGAAAAGUUCAAACU